Phyllostomus discolor (pale spear-nosed bat) is the source of this 107-nucleotide small nuclear RNA. NCBI's taxonomy places the organism in Eukaryota, Metazoa, Chordata, Mammalia, Chiroptera, Phyllostomidae. The record is from RefSeq and is a predicted model, not a curated record.
GUGCUUGCUUUGGCAGCGCAUAUACUAAAAUUGGGAUGAUACAGAGAAGAUUAGCAUGGUUCCUGCGCAAGGAUGACAUGCAAAUUUGUGAAGUGUUUUAUAUUAAA